AGAGUUUGAUCCUGGCUCAGGAUGAACGCUAGCGACAGGCCUAACACAUGCAAGUCGAGGGGCAACGGGGAUGUUAGCUUGCUAAUAUCUGCCGGCGACCGGCGCACGGGUGAGUAACGCGUAUGCGACCUGCCCGUCACAGGGGGAUAAUCCGGAGAAAUCCGGUCUAAUACCGCAUGAUAUCGUGAAGCUGCAUGGCUUUGCGAUUAAAGGAGCGAUCCGGUGACGGAUGGGCAUGCGUGACAUUAGCUAGUCGGCGGGGUAACGGCCCACCGAGGCGACGAUGUCUAGGGGUUCUGAGAGGAAGGUCCCCCACACUGGUACUGAGACACGGACCAGACUCCUACGGGAGGCAGCAGUGAGGAAUAUUGGUCAAUGGGCUUACGCCUGAACCAGCCAAGUCGCGUGAGGGAAGACUGCCCUAUGGGUUGUAAACCUCUUUUGUCAGGGAGCAAUUGGCGCUACGUGUAGCGUUAUCGAGAGUACCUGAAGAAAAAGCAUCGGCUAACUCCGUGCCAGCAGCCGCGGU
This 529-nucleotide ribosomal RNA is filed under the name uncultured bacterium. RNAcentral describes it as "bacterial SSU rRNA". It matches the Rfam family "Bacterial small subunit ribosomal RNA", at positions 8 to 521 of the family's 1533-position model. The record is from RNAcentral.